AACAUUACCACUGAAUUUACAAUGCUAAAGUCCUGGCAACAUAUAGGCAGGGGAAAUGUCUCUUCCAAGACUAAAUAAACAUCAGAACAAAUGAUAAUUCCAUAUCAAUCAAUGAAUCAAGCAGAAAAUUAUGGAAUCAAGAUUAUUUUACUUUGACAUUUCCCAAACCACUCCAGCCAGGUAGAAAAAAGAGAUCAAGACCUUCAGAAUCACAAAUCUCAGUUCCUCCUGAAGCAAAGUGGAUUCAUAAGCUGCUUUAAAAAACAACUGAGCACUUGGUUUCACAGAAUGGCCUUACCACAGUAAAUACUGGCUACUCUCAGAUGAGCAUUUCUACUUCUGUGGAACUGUAAGAAAUAAAAACAAGUCUUCCAUGAGU
Molecule: non-coding RNA, 379 nt
Organism: Leptonychotes weddellii (Weddell seal)
Lineage: Eukaryota; Metazoa; Chordata; Mammalia; Carnivora; Phocidae
Source: RefSeq, a predicted model, not a curated record